UACAUGCAAGUUCGAGCGAGUUGAAAUUAACUGCAUCCCUUCGGGGUUGAUGUUAAUGGGAUCUAGCGGCGGGACGGGGUGGAGAUAACACGUGGGGCAACCUACCUACAAGNAUCGGGAUAACUCCGGGGAAACCGGGGCUAAUACCGGAUAAUACUUUUUAUCACAUGAUGAGAAGAUGAAAGGCGGSGCAAGCUGUCACUUGUAKAUGGGCCCGCGGCGCAUUASCUAKUUGGUGGGGUAAUGGCUCACCAAGGCAACGAUGCGUAGCCGACCUGAGAGGGUGAUCGGCCACACUGGGACUGAGACACGGCCCASACUCCUACGGGAGGCAGCAGUAGGGAAUCUUCCGCAAUGGACRAAAGUCUGACGGAKCAACGCCGCGUGAGCGAUGAARGUCUUCGGAUCGUAAAGCUCUGUUGUUAGGGAAGAACAAGUACAAGAGUAACUGCUUGUACCUUGACGGUACCUAACCAGAAAGCCACGGCUAACUACGUGCCAGCASCCGCGGUAAUACGUAGGUGGCAAGCGUUGUCCGGAAUUAUUGGGCGUAAAGCGCGCGCAGGCGGUCCUUUAAGUCUGAUGUGAAAGCCCACGGCUUAACCGUGGAGGGUCAUUGGAAACUGGGGGACUUGAGUACAGAAGAGGAGAGUGGAAUUCCACGUGUAGCGGUGAAAUGCGUAGAGAUGUGGAGGAACACCAGUGGCGAAGGCGACUCUCUGGUCUGUAACUGACGCUGAGGCGCGAAAGCAUGGGUAGCGAACAGGAUUAGAUACCCUGGUAGUCCAUGCCGUAAACGAUGAGUGCUAGGUGUUAGGGGGUUUCCGCCCCUUAGUGCUGAAGUUAACGCAUUAAGCACUCCGCCUGGGGAGUACGGCCGCAAGGCUGAAACUCAAAAGAAUUGAUCGGGGGCCCGCACAAGCGGUGAGCAUUN
Molecule: ribosomal RNA, 934 nt
Filed under: Bacillaceae bacterium 71 JDE-2009
Lineage: Bacteria; Bacillati; Bacillota; Bacilli; Caryophanales; Bacillaceae
Description: bacterial SSU rRNA
Rfam family: Bacterial small subunit ribosomal RNA
Source: RNAcentral